AGAAUCAACGCUGGCGGCGUGCCUAACACAUGCAAGUCGAACGAGAAAGUGGAGCAAUCCACAAGUAAAGUGGCGCACGGGUGAGUAACACGUGACUAACCUACCCUUGAGUGGGGGAUAACCUAGAGAAAUCUGGGCUAAUACCGCAUAAUACCUUCGGGUCAAAGGAGCAAUUCGCUUAAGGAGGGGGUCGCGGCCGAUUAGUUAGUUGGCGGGGUAAUGGCCCACCAAGACUAUGAUCGGUAUCCGGCCUGAGAGGGCGCACGGACACACUGGAACUGAAACACGGUCCAGACUCCUACGGGAGGCAGCAGUGGGAAUUUUGCGCAAUGGGGGAAACCCUGACGCAGCAACGCCGCGUGGAGGAUGAAGUCCCUUGGGACGUAAACUCCUUUCGAUCGGGACGAUAAUGACGGUACCGAGAGAAGAAGCCCCGGCUAACUUCGCGCCAGCAGCCGC
RNAcentral lists this ribosomal RNA (459 nucleotides) under uncultured bacterium. RNAcentral describes it as "SSU rRNA". It matches the Rfam family "Bacterial small subunit ribosomal RNA", at positions 26 to 518 of the family's 1533-position model. The record is from RNAcentral.